GCCCUGGCGCGUGCUAUACAUGCAAGUCGAGCGGACAGAUGGGAGCUUGCUCCCUGAUGUUAGCGGCGGACGGGUGAGUAACACGUGGGUAACCUGCCUGUAAGACUGGGAUAACUCCGGGAAACCGGGGCUAAUACCGGAUGGUUGUUUGAACCGCAUGGUUCAGACAUAAAAGGUGGCUUCGGCUACCACUUACAGAUGGACCCGCGGCGCAUUAGCUAGUUGGUGAGGUAACGGCUCACCAAGGCGACGAUGCGUAGCCGACCUGAGAGGGUGAUCGGCCACACUGGGACUGAGACACGGCCCAGACUCCUACGGGAGGCAGCAGUAGGGAAUCUUCCGCAAUGGACGAAAGUCUGACGGAGCAACGCCGCGUGAGUGAUGAAGGUUUUCGGAUCGUAAAGCUCUGUUGUUAGGGAAGAACAAGUGCCGUUCAAAUAGGGCGGCACCUUGACGGUACCUAACCAGAAAGCCACGGCUAACUACGUGCCAGCAGCCGCGGUAAUACGUAGGUGGCAAGCGUUGUCCGGAAUUAUUGGGCGUAAAGGGCUCGCAGGCGGUUUCUUAAGUCUGAUGUGAAAGCCCCCGGCUCAACCGGGGAGGGUCAUUGGAAACUGGGGAACUUGAGUGCAGAAGAGGAGAGUGGAAUUCCACGUGUAGCGGUGAAAUGCGUAGAGAUGUGGAGGAACACCAGUGGCGAAGGCGACUCUCUGGUCUGUAACUGACGCUGAGGAGCGAAAGCGUGGGGAGCGAACAGGAUUAGAUACCCUGGUAGUCCACGCCGUAAACGAUGAGUGCUAAGUGUUAGGGGGUUUCCGCCCCUUAGUGCUGCAGCUAACGCAUUAAGCACUCCGCCUGGGGAGUACGGUCGCAAGACUGAAACUCAAAGGAAUUGACGGGGGCCCGCACAAGCGGUGGAGCAUGUGGUUUAAUUCGAAGCAACGCGAAGAACCUUACCAGGUCUUGACAUCCUCUGACAAUCCUAGAGAUAGGACGUCCCCUUCGGGGGCAGAGUGACAGGUGGUGCAUGGUUGUCGUCAGCUCGUGUCGUGAGAUGUUGGGUUAAGUCCCGCAACGAGCGCAACCCUUGAUCUUAGUUGCCAGCAUUCAGUUGGGCACUCUAAGGUGACUGCCGGUGACAAACCGGAAGAAGGUGGGGAUGACGUCAAAUCAUCAUGCCCCUUAUGACCUGGGCU
Molecule: ribosomal RNA, 1196 nt
Filed under: Bacillus subtilis
Lineage: Bacteria; Bacillati; Bacillota; Bacilli; Caryophanales; Bacillaceae
Description: bacterial SSU rRNA
Rfam family: Bacterial small subunit ribosomal RNA
Source: RNAcentral